RNAcentral lists this ribosomal RNA (497 nucleotides) under uncultured bacterium. Its description in RNAcentral is "partial 16S ribosomal RNA". It matches the Rfam family "Bacterial small subunit ribosomal RNA", at positions 28 to 507 of the family's 1533-position model. The record is from RNAcentral.
GAUGAACGCUGGCGGCGUGCCUAAUACAUGCAAGUCGAGCGAACAGACGAGGAGCUUGCUCCUCUGACGUUAGCGGCGGACGGGUGAGUAACACGUGGAUAACCUACCUAUAAGACUGGGAUAACUUCGGGAAACCGGAGCUAAUACCGGAUAACAUGUUGAACCGCAUGGUUCAACAGUGAAAGACGGUCUUGCUGUCACUUAUAGAUGGAUCCGCGCCGCAUUAGCUAGUUGGUAAGGUAACGGCUUACCAAGGCAACGAUGCGUAGCCGACCUGAGAGGGUGAUCGGCCACCCUGGAACUGAGCCACGGUCCAGACUCCUACGGGAGGCACCAGUAGGGAAUCUUCCGCAAUAGGCGAAAGCCUGACGGAGCAACGCCGCGUGAGUGACGAAGGUCUUCGGAUCGUAAAACUCUGUUAUUAGGGAAGAACAAAUGUGUAAGUAGCUAUGCACGUCUUGACGGUACCUAAUCAGAAAGCCACGGCUAACUACGUG